AACGAACGCUGGCGGCAUGCCUAACACAUGCAAGUCGAACGAGACCCUCGGGUCUAGUGGCGCACGGGUGCGUAACGCGUGGGAACCUGCCCUUAGGUUCGGAAUAACUCCCCGAAAGGGGUGCUAAUACCGGAUAAUGUCUUCGGACCAAAGAUUUAUCGCCUUUGGAUGGGCCCGCGUUGGAUUAGCUAGUUGGUAGGGUAAAAGCCUACCAAGGCGACGAUCCAUAGCUGGUCUGAGAGGAUGACUAGCCACACUGGGAAUGAGACACGGCCCACACUCCUACGGGAGGCAGCAGUGGGGAAUAUUGGACAAUGGGCGAAAGCGUGAUCCAGCAAUGCCGCGUGAGUGAUGAAGGCCUUAGGGUUGUAAAGCUCUUUUACCCGGGAUGAUAAUGACAGUACCGGGAGAAUAAGCUCCGGCUAACUACGUG
Molecule: ribosomal RNA, 433 nt
Filed under: uncultured bacterium
Lineage: Bacteria
Description: partial 16S ribosomal RNA
Rfam family: Bacterial small subunit ribosomal RNA
Source: RNAcentral